CCCUAUUAUCUAUAGAAUUAUAAUGAAUUAGUAUAAAUUGAAAUUUAAUGAUUUUUGGCGGUUAGGGGUUAUUUAGAGGAGCUUGAAUUUUAUAGAAUUUGCUCUUUAUAUUUUAAUAAUAAUGUAAUUUAUUCAUCUCCGUUAUUAAAGUACAAUUUAAAUAAAUAUCUUUAAUAUAUCAGGUCAAGAUGUAGUAUUUAUUAGAAAAUUGUUAGCUACAUUUAUGAAAUGAUUGGAUAGUUAAUGGAAGAGUUAAAUAAGAAAUUGAAUUUAGAUGUAAUAUUGACUAGAAAGUCAUUAUGAAUUUAUUCCCCUAAUGU
This 320-nucleotide ribosomal RNA is filed under the name Piassagera brieni. RNAcentral's name for it is "partial small subunit ribosomal RNA". Lineage: Eukaryota; Metazoa; Arthropoda; Arachnida; Opiliones; Gonyleptidae. The record is from RNAcentral.